Molecule: ribosomal RNA, 403 nt
Filed under: bacterium
Lineage: Bacteria
Description: partial 16S ribosomal RNA
Rfam family: Bacterial small subunit ribosomal RNA
Source: RNAcentral
UGGGGAAUAUUGCACAAUGGGGGAAACCCUGAUGCAGCGACGCCGCGUGAACGAAGAAGGUAUUCGUAUCGUAAAGUUCUGUCCUAUGGGAAGAUAAUGACAGUACCAUAGAAGAAAGCUCCGGCUAAAUACGUGCCAGCAGCCGCGGUAAUACGUAUGGAGCGAGCGUUGUCCGGAAUUAUUGGGCGUAAAGGGUACGCAGGCGGUUUAAUAAGUCGAAUGUUAAAGAUCGGGGCUCAACCCCGUAAAGCAUUGGAAACUGAUAAACUUGAGUAGUGGAGAGGAAAGUGGAAUUCCUAGUGUAGUGGUGAAAUACGUAGAUAUUAGGAGGAAUAACAGUAGCGAAGGCGAGUUUCUGGACACAAACUGACGCUGAGGUACGAAAGCGUGGGGAGCAAAGAGG